RNAcentral lists this ribosomal RNA (407 nucleotides) under uncultured Planktothrix sp. RNAcentral describes it as "bacterial SSU rRNA". It matches the Rfam family "Bacterial small subunit ribosomal RNA", at positions 355 to 776 of the family's 1533-position model. Lineage: Bacteria; Bacillati; Cyanobacteriota; Cyanophyceae; Oscillatoriales; Microcoleaceae. The record is from RNAcentral.
UGGGGAAUUUUCCGCAAUGGGCGAAAGCCUGACGGAGCAAGACCGCGUGGGGGAGGAAGGUUCUUGGAUUGUCAACCCCUUUUCUCAGGGAAGAACUCAAUGACGGUACCUGAGGAAAAAGCAUCGGCUAACUCCGUGCCAGCAGCCGCGGUAAUACGGGGGAUGCAAGCGUUAUCCGGAAUGAUUGGGCGUAAAGAGUCCGUAGGUAGUCCUUCAAGUCUGCUGUUAAAGAGCGAGGCUUAACUUCGUAAAGGCAGUGGAAACUGGAGGACUAGAGUGUAGUAGGGGCAGAGGGAAUUCCUGGUGUAGCGGUGAAAUGCGUAGAGAUCAGGAAGAACACCGGUGGCGAAGGCGCUCUGCUGGGCUAUAACUGACACUGAGGGACGAAAGCUAGGGGAGCGAAUGGG